RNAcentral lists this ribosomal RNA (364 nucleotides) under uncultured eukaryote. RNAcentral's name for it is "partial 18S ribosomal RNA". It matches the Rfam family "Eukaryotic small subunit ribosomal RNA", at positions 592 to 976 of the family's 1831-position model. The record is from RNAcentral.
CAAAAGCGUAUAUUAAAGUUGUUGCAGUUAAAAAGCUCGUAGUUGAACCUUGGGCUUGGCUGGCCGGUCCAUCUUUUUUGAUGCGUACUGGACCCAGCCGAGCCUUUCCUUCUGGCUAGCCUUUUUGCGAACCAGGACUUUUACUUUGAAAAAAUUAGAGUGUUCAAAGCAGGCCUUUGCUCGAAUAUAUUAGCAUGGAAUAAUAGAAUAGGACGUUAUGGUUCUAUUUUGUUGGUUUCUAGGACCAUCGUAAUGAUUAAUAGGGACGGUCGGGGGUAUCAGUAUUCAGUUGUCAGAGGUGAAAUUCUUGGAUUUACUGAAGACUAACUACUGCGAAAGCAUUUACCAAGGACGUUUUCAUUAA